Molecule: long non-coding RNA, 283 nt
Filed under: Elaeis guineensis (African oil palm)
Lineage: Eukaryota; Viridiplantae; Streptophyta; Magnoliopsida; Arecales; Arecaceae
Description: long non-coding RNA (EGUI_LNC075609)
Source: RNAcentral
UCCAUGAAUGAUGAUGAGAUAGAAGAUGAUAUAUUAGUCGAUUAUUAUGAUUCGAAGGAUCUACACAUCGAGAAAGAUACAAAUAUUGAUGAGUAGAUCUAUAUUCUUUAUUGAAUCUUCUCUUACAAUAAUGAUAUGCGAUAUAAUUCUAUUCAUUAGAAUGUAAUUUAUUUUUUACUAUUAUUGUUCAAUAUUACAUUUAUUUAUAUGUCAAAAAUUAUAGGCAUGGCACUAGGAGACAGACGAUGAUGUUUGCAUUCGUAGCCUACCCCUGAGGCUGAGG